GACGAACGCUGGCGGCGUGCCUAAUACAUGCAAGUUGAGCGAUGAAGCUUGGUGCUUGCACCAAUUUGAAGAGCAGCGAACGGGUGAGUAACGCGUGGGGAAUCUGCCUUUGAGCGGGGGACAACAUUUGGAAACGAAUGCUAAUACCGCAUAACAACUUUAAACAUAAGUUUUAAGUUUGAAAGAUGCAAUUGCAUCACUCAAAGAUGAUCCCGCGUUGUAUUAGCUAGUUGGUGAGGUAAAGGCUCACCAAGGCGAUGAUACAUAGCCGACCUGAGAGGGUGAUCGGCCACAUUGAGACUGAGACACGGCCCAAACUCCUACGGGAGGCAGCAGUAGGGAAUCUUCGGCAACGGACGAAAGUCUGACCGAGCAACGCCGCGUGAGUGAAGAAGGGUUUCGGAUCGUAAAACUCUGUUGGUAGAGAAGAACGUUGGUGAGAGUGGAAAGCUCAUCAAGUGACGGUAACUACCCAGAAAGGGACGGCUAACUACGUG
Molecule: ribosomal RNA, 497 nt
Filed under: uncultured bacterium
Lineage: Bacteria
Description: partial 16S ribosomal RNA
Rfam family: Bacterial small subunit ribosomal RNA
Source: RNAcentral